RNAcentral lists this unclassified non-coding RNA (219 nucleotides) under uncultured fungus. RNAcentral's name for it is "partial contains 5.8S ribosomal RNA, internal transcribed spacer 2, and large subunit ribosomal RNA". The record is from RNAcentral. Lineage: Eukaryota; Fungi.
AACGCAACUUGCGCCACUCUGUGGCAUGUCUGUUUGAGCACCAUAUACCCUCUGUCGCAAGACGAAUUGUCCAGUCGCUGCGCUGGAUCAAAUGGAGUGGUAUCCCCUCCACGGGUGUGGUGGUGACGAACCGAGCUAGAGGCCUCUGGUCUUGUCGGAGAGUCAUCCACCCCCCUUUUGAUUGGUCUCAAAUCAGGCAAGACUACCCGCUGAACUUAA